RNAcentral lists this ribosomal RNA (566 nucleotides) under uncultured archaeon. RNAcentral's name for it is "bacterial SSU rRNA". It matches the Rfam family "Archaeal small subunit ribosomal RNA", at positions 326 to 896 of the family's 1478-position model. The record is from RNAcentral.
CGGGGUGCACCAGGCGCGAAAACUUUACAAUGCUGGCAACAGCGAUAAGGGGACCUUGAGUGCCAGGAUACAAUCCUGGCUGUCGUGAUGCCUAAAAGGCAUUAUAUAGCAAGGGCCGGGCAAGACCGGUGCCAGCCGCCGCGGUAACACCGGCGGCUCGAGUGGUAACCGCUAUUAUUGGGUCUAAAGGGUCUGUAGCCGGCUUGGUUAGUCUCUUGGGAAAUCCGGCAGCUUAACUGUCGGGCUUUCAGGAGAUACUGCCAGGCUCGAGACCGGGAGAGGUGAGAGGUACUUCAUGGGUAGGGGUGAAAUCUUGUAAUCCUUGAAGGACCACCAGUGGCGAAGGCGUCUCACCAGAACGGAUCUGACGGCAAGGGACGAAAGCUAGGGGCACGAACCGGAUUAGAUACCCGGGUAGUCCUAGCCGUAAACGAUACUCGCUAGGUGUCGGCCACGGUGCGACCGUGGUCGGUGCCGUAGGGAAGCCGUGAAGCGAGCCACCUGGGAAGUACGGCCGCAAGGCUGAAACUUAAAGGAAUUGGCGGGGGAGCACAAGGGCGAAUCGC